This 711-nucleotide ribosomal RNA is filed under the name uncultured Peptococcaceae bacterium. Its description in RNAcentral is "bacterial SSU rRNA". It matches the Rfam family "Bacterial small subunit ribosomal RNA", at positions 57 to 735 of the family's 1533-position model. Lineage: Bacteria; Bacillati; Bacillota; Clostridia; Eubacteriales; Peptococcaceae. The record is from RNAcentral.
GCAAGUCGAACGAAAAGACGGAAAGAGCUUGCUCUUUUCAGAAUUGAGUGGCAAACGGGUGAGUAACACGUAAACAACCUGCCUUCAGGAUGGGGACAACAGACGGAAACGACUGCUAAUACCGAAUAAGUUCCAAGAGCCGCAUGGCCCAUGGAAGAAAAGGUGGCCUCUACCUGUAAGCUAUCGCCUGAAGAGGGGUUUGCGUCUGAUUAGCUGGUUGGAGGGGUAACGGCCCACCAAGGCGACGAUCAGUAGCCGGUCUGAGAGGAUGAACGGCCACACUGGAACUGAGACACGGUCCAGACUCCUACGGGAGGCAGCAGUGGGGAAUCUUCCGCAAUGGGCGAAAGCCUGACGGAGCAACGCCGCGUGAGUGAUGACGGCCUUCGGGUUGUAAAACUCUGUGAUCCGGGACGAAAAGGCAGAGUGCGAAGAACAAACUGCAUUGACGGUACCGGAAAAGCAAGCCACGGCUAACUACGUGCCAGCAGCCGCGGUAAUACGUAGGUGGCAAGCGUUGUCCGGAAUUAUUGGGCGUAAAGCGCGCGCAGGCGGCUUCCCAAGUCCCUCUUAAAAGUGCGGGGCUUAACCCCGUGAUGGGAAGGAAACUGGGAAGCUGGAGUAUCGGAGAGGAAAGUGGAAUUCCUAGUGUAGCGGUGAAAUGCGUAGAGAUUAGGAAGAACACCGGUGGCGAAGGCGACUUUCUGGACG